UUACCGGCUUGACAUUGAUGAAAGUAAGAGUGUGACAGGUGCUGCAUGGUUGUCGUCAGNUCGUGUCGUGAGAUGUUGGCUUAAGUGCCGCAACGAGCGCAGCCCUGUGUUAGUUACUCGAGAGUCUCUAACAGACUGCCUCGUUAAAGAGGAGGAAGGUGGGGAUGACGUCAAAUCAGUAUGGCCCUUACGCCGGGCUGCACACGUGCUACAAUGCGGUACAAGGGGCACCGCGAGGGGAGCAAUCCCAAAACCANCCCAGUUCAGAUUGGAGUCUGCAACUCGACUCCAUGAAGCCGGAAUCGCUAGUAAUGGCGAUCAGCACGCGCCGUGAAUACGUUCCCGGGCCUUGUACACACCGCCCGUCACAUCAUGGAAGCCCGUGACCGAA
This 391-nucleotide ribosomal RNA is filed under the name uncultured bacterium. Its description in RNAcentral is "bacterial SSU rRNA". It matches the Rfam family "Bacterial small subunit ribosomal RNA", at positions 971 to 1425 of the family's 1533-position model. The record is from RNAcentral.